This 483-nucleotide ribosomal RNA is filed under the name uncultured bacterium. RNAcentral's name for it is "partial 16S ribosomal RNA". It matches the Rfam family "Bacterial small subunit ribosomal RNA", at positions 29 to 506 of the family's 1533-position model. The record is from RNAcentral.
AUUGAACGCUGGCGGAAUGCUUUACACAUGCAAGUCGAACGGCAGCACGGGGGCAGCCCUGGUGGCGAGUGGCGAACGGGUGAGUAAUACAUCGGAACGUGCCCGGUCGUGGGGGAUAACGUAGCGAAAGUUACGCUAAUACCGCAUACGAUCUGAGGAUGAAAGCGGGGGACCUUCGGGCCUCGCGCGAUCGGAGCGGCCGAUGUCAGAUUAGGUAGUUGGUGGGGUAAAGGCCUACCAAGCCGACGAUCUGUAGCUGGUCUGAGAGGACGACCAGCCACACUGGGACUGAGACACGGCCCAGACUCCUACGGGAGGCAGCAGUGGGGAAUUUUGGACAAUGGGCGCAAGCCUGAUCCAGCCAUUCCGCGUGCAGGACGAAGGCCUUCGGGUUGUAAACUGCUUUUGUACGGAACGAAAAGGCUCUGGCUAAUGCCUGGGGCUCAUGACGGUACCGUAAGAAUAAGCACCGGCGAACUACGU